GUUUUAUAAGUGUCUGGCAUUUCCCCUGUUUGCAUUCACUCCGUUCUGCCACCCUGUGAAGAAGGUGUUUGCUUCUCCUUUGCCUUUCACCAUGGUUGUAAGUUUCCUGAGGACUACCCAGCAAUGCGAAACUAUUCUACUAAAGGUGAACAUUUCCCUUCUGACUGAAGUUUGUAUUACACUCAUUAAUAGCAAUUUUCUUUAGUGUGGAUUCUCUGGUGAAUGUGAACUUCUGAGGCUUGAGAGAAGCCCGUACUGAACUCAUCACAUUUAUGGGGUCUCUCUCCCCUAUGCACUUGCUCAUCAGUGCCAAGUUUUGCACUCUGAGAAAAAUUCUCACCGCUCUUAGAAAUGAUAAUGAUGUGCUUUCUCUCCUGAAUGGAGGGAGGGUACUACAAAGGAGAAGAGAGGAGCACCUGGUGAAGCUCUCACUACGUUCAUCACACAGGCCAGGAAGAGCAAGGGGAGAAAAAGAUUUGUCCAUGGGAACAAGUACUCAUGCUCUAAAGGACAAUUUCAUUUGAACCCACUAAUUUCCUUUUCAUGAAAAAUUUCAAAGAUAAAGCAACAUAAAAUAUGAGGACAAAGAAAAGGGAGACGGUCUUCAAGGAGAAUUUGUGCCUUUAAGUUUUUACUGGUACCUCAGUCCUUCAGCCUGGAGCUACUCAAAGAUGAAUCAUGAAAAAGAAAAAAACUGUAUUUCAAACAGGUUCAGUGGUG
This 720-nucleotide long non-coding RNA is filed under the name Homo sapiens (human). RNAcentral describes it as "novel transcript". Lineage: Eukaryota; Metazoa; Chordata; Mammalia; Primates; Hominidae. The record is from RNAcentral.